Long non-coding RNA from Sinocyclocheilus rhinocerous, 239 nucleotides. RefSeq lists it as uncharacterized. Lineage: Eukaryota; Metazoa; Chordata; Actinopteri; Cypriniformes; Cyprinidae. The transcript has 3 exons. The record is from RefSeq and is a predicted model, not a curated record.
AAAACCUCAUUGGAGAUGCUGGAGUGGAGAAACUGGCUAAAGCUUAGCCAUCAGUCCCUUCUCUACAGAGCCUCAGCCUCUAUGGAAAUGUAAUUUCUGACAGUGGAGCUGAACAUCUGGCCUUGGUUUUACCAGACAUGAACUUCCUGCAGGACUUGGAUGUUAAGUUCAACAAGUUCACAGACAUUGGAGCUACAAAGCUCAGUGCUGCUCUGAAAAACUGUACAGGAAUGAAGUCU